RNAcentral lists this small RNA (864 nucleotides) under Pan troglodytes (chimpanzee). Its description in RNAcentral is "retained intron". The record is from RNAcentral. Lineage: Eukaryota; Metazoa; Chordata; Mammalia; Primates; Hominidae.
GGCCAUUCCUAGCGAGGCAGUAGGCACCGCCUCUGUCACAUUUCCUAGCUCCUAAAGCGCGGGACCAGGCGGAAACGUGCGACAGGAGGCGGUCCCACCUAACUUUGGACUGGAGUGUCAGUAGAACUCCCGUCUUUUCCAGCAACGCUUUGCAAGUUCUUCACCGCAAAGAACUGCCGCAGACUUCCGCCUGGGUGCCAACCACGUGAUCACGCGAGCGUUGGAGAGGCGUAGCCUAAAUUAUACAGAUCUGUGAUUGAAGAUGUCAUUAAUGAUGUGAGAGACAUCUUUCUGGAUGAUGGAGUGGAUGAACAAGUACUGAUGGAAUUAAAAACUUUAUGGGAAAACAAACUAAUGCAGUCCAGGGCAGUAGAUGGAUUUCAUUCAGAAGAGCAGCAGCUUCUACUGCAAGUUCAACAGCAGCAUCAACCCCAGCAGCAGCAACAUCACCACCAUCACCAUCAUCAGCAAGCUCAGCCUCAGCAGACAGUACCUCAGCAAGCGCAGACCCAGCAGGUUCUUAUUCCUGCAUCACAGCAAGCCACAGCACCACAAGUUAUUGUUCCGGAUUCUAAGUUGAUACAGCAUAUGAAUGCAUCAAACAUGAGUGCUGCUGCUACAGCUGCUACCUUAGCACUCCCUGCAGGUGUGACUCCUGUUCAGCAGAUAUUAACAAACUCAGGUAAUUAGGAAUGAUGGAACCAUUUUAAAAUGUAAUUCAGAAAAUUGUACUAUCUAGCCCUUAGGUUUUGUCUUCUUUGAAAGACAGAAAAUACUAAUAUUUCUUUUACCAUUUGGUUUAGGUUAUUAAAAUAACUUUAUUUGAGGGCUGUAACACAUACAACUGUAAUCGUUGUUGAGGAU